GCUUCAUGGGGACAGAUGCCAUGCAAGGCAGAAGGAGGACGGAAAGUGACCAUAGGCACGGUCGAAGAGAAAAAUUGACUUCAACAUUAAGACUGAAUUCAACAAGUUGUUAAAUUCUGGACCCAAUGACUUGCUACCUAAAUAGAAACAGGUAAACACACCCAUAGAGUGUAUUCACAGGAGGAGACUCAUAAAAAUAAUUGGCUA
This is a long non-coding RNA of Callorhinchus milii (elephant shark), 207 nucleotides long. RefSeq lists it as uncharacterized. The record is from RefSeq and is a predicted model, not a curated record. NCBI's taxonomy places the organism in Eukaryota, Metazoa, Chordata, Chondrichthyes, Chimaeriformes, Callorhinchidae. The transcript has 3 exons.